UACGGAGGGUGCAAGCGUUAUCCGGAUUCACUGGGUUUAAAGGGAGCGCAGGCGGACUGGUAAGUCAGUGGUGAAAGCCUUGAGCUUAACUCGAGAACUGCCAUUGAUACUAUCAGUCUUGAAUAUUGUUGAGGUUUGCGGAAUGGGUCAUGUAGCGGUGAAAUGCAUAGAUAUGACCCGGAACACCUAUUGCGAAGGCAGCAGGCUAAACAAAGAUUGACGCUGAGGCUCGAAAGCGUGGGGAUCAAACAGG
RNAcentral lists this ribosomal RNA (253 nucleotides) under uncultured bacterium. Its description in RNAcentral is "partial 16S ribosomal RNA". It matches the Rfam family "Bacterial small subunit ribosomal RNA", at positions 524 to 776 of the family's 1533-position model. The record is from RNAcentral.